This 277-nucleotide long non-coding RNA is filed under the name Zea mays. RNAcentral describes it as "long non-coding RNA (ZMAY_LNC002701)". The record is from RNAcentral. Lineage: Eukaryota; Viridiplantae; Streptophyta; Magnoliopsida; Poales; Poaceae.
CCCGAUGUUCUCUCUCUUUCCUCCAUAAGAAUAAACCCAGCUUAGUCGACCUCCUCCAUCUUGCUCUCGCCAGCGUCAUCCUCCAGAGGGGGCAUGUCGGUGUCAGCCUCCGGAGCCUCCUCGUCCUCGUCGAUGCUCAGGCCCAGCUUGAGCAUGCGGUGGAUGCGGCUGCCAAAGGUGUUGGGAUCGUCGAGGCUAAAGCCAGAAGUGAGCAGCGCCGUCUCGAACAGCAGCAUGACAAGGUCCUUAACGGACUUGUCGUUCUUGUCAGCCUCGG